UGCGUAGGUGGUCAUGUAAGUUAACUGUGAAAGCCCUGGGCUUAACCUGGGAAGGCCAGUUAAGACUGCGUGACUAGAGUAUAGGAGAGGGUAGUGGAAUUUCCGGUGUAGCGGUGAAAUGCGUAGAGAUCGGAAGGAACACCAGUGGCGAAGGCGGCUACCUGGCCUAAUACUGACACUGAGGCACGAAAGCGUGGGGAGCAAACA
Molecule: ribosomal RNA, 207 nt
Filed under: uncultured bacterium
Lineage: Bacteria
Description: partial 16S ribosomal RNA
Rfam family: Bacterial small subunit ribosomal RNA
Source: RNAcentral